This 72-nucleotide transfer RNA is filed under the name Oreoica gutturalis (crested bellbird). RNAcentral describes it as "tRNA-Lys". It matches the Rfam family "tRNA". From Rfam's summary of the family: Transfer RNA (tRNA) molecules are approximately 80 nucleotides in length. Their secondary structure includes four short double-helical elements and three loops (D, anti-codon, and T loops). The record is from RNAcentral. Lineage: Eukaryota; Metazoa; Chordata; Aves; Passeriformes.
UCAUUAAGAAGCUAUGAAGCAGCGCCAGCCUUUUAAGCUGGAGAAAGAGGGCUACACACCCUCCUUAAUGAC